UUGUAAACCAACAGGAUUCUUGCCCAGACUUUAGGGAUGCUGGGUGUACCGUGGUCCCCACAUCCAUGAUGACGGAUGGGAUGUGCAACCUGGGGACACUCAACCCAGGAGCUGCCCACCCCCCUCCCCACCCUGCAGAGAAGCAUCAGGUCCCUUCUGUGACCACCAAAUGGAUGCAGGUGCCACCCACCAUGCCAGCUGGGUGUUCCCUCCCUGCCACCAGCAUCUCACCACCGAGCAGGGUACCAGAGGUGGCGACACAGGGCUGAGGACGCGUCCCCAGCCGCGGGCCAUGCUCCAGCUGGGCGCUGUUUUGUAAGGACUCCUGGGCCUCUGCGGCACAGAGAUAAGCCCAAGAAUUCGCCGUCGGUUCCAAAUAUCCCAUCCGCUUCCUCCCGCCGUCCUCGCCGCCGCUCCAGCCCGCUUGUCUCAUUUCCGCAGCCUCGCGCUGGGGGGAGUUUUUCCUGUUUUCCCCCCCCCGGCCGCGGGGCGGUGGCGGGGGGCUGCGGGGUGCAGGGAGGAAAGGCAGGACAAUGGGCGCGGGCAGGGAUGGGCAGCUGCCCACCGCCCCCACCAGGGGUCUGCACUGGGGACAUGGGGAUUUGCUCGGUGGCCCAGGAUGGGGUUGGGAGAGGCAGAUGGGUGGCAGCAGGGGUGGCAGGUGGCAACGGUGGGGACGCGGGUCCUGGGCUGAGCUGAGAUUGCAGAUGCGGUUUCUUUUCCUUUCCUUUUAUUAUUUCUUUCUUUUUCUUUUUCUUUUUUUAUUUUUUUUUUCUCUAAGGGUUUUGCUGUAAAUCAACCCAAGCUCCCUCCGGAGCAUCUUUUCUGUGCCACAGUGGGUGACACCAGCUGGAGGACCCCCCCCAUCCACCUGAGCAUCACCCCAGCGUGAGAACAGGGAUGGAGCCAGCGUGGCAGGAGUUAUUCAAAGGCGGGCGGAAGUGAGCGCAGCAACUGAAACAACAAUGAAAAGGAAACAAAGCUUGAAAAAUUCUCCGUUCAUAAAUCAAGUGAACUGCAGGAAGAGGAGCUGCUGUCUUGGGACGGGCUUCUCGGCGUUGGCAGCAUCCCUGCGCGGACAGAAAACCUCUCCCCAUCCCAGCCAGGUCCUGCAGCAUCUUGCUACAGGGGAGAUGGGGAGCAGUUUGGACAAAGCCAGGUCUGCCCUCCUCACUGUCCCCUCUCUGCCAGCCCCUGUGAGCUGAGACCCCACCUUGGGGACACUGAAGGGGAGCUCAUGCCUUUGGGAUCCAUGGAUGGCUCCAAGCACUGAGCUGGUGGCAGCAGGCUGAACCGUACAGUGGAGAAAAGGAAAUGGUCCCGGUCCCCAUGCUGGGAAAGCCAGGCAGGAUUGUAUCUCCCCCACCCCAUUAUCCAUCCCCCCUUCCAUGAUUUCCCUGUCAUCUUGUCUUUCGGCAGAGCUGGAAAACUGGGAGACGACCGUAAAUAAAUCCUGUGUCUUUAAGCCGUUCUGUACAGUACAAGAAAACGCACUCGUUGAAUUACAGCUUUUUAAUCAAAUACAUGUAACCAUGUCACUUAAAGUGCUCGCGAAAAGCAGGGGGAAAAAAAAAAGCUCAACACAAUUGGAAGAGCAUGAUAUUAAAACCAGCUGCUUGCUUACCCCCACCACAGUUAAUAGUUUUUGAAUGUUCUGAAUGAGAGAGAAACCAGAGCCAAGCUCCACUUUCAUGUCCAUCUUUCUGAUCAAGCCCUGUCAGACGGGGGGAGCCGGGCAGCCUGGCACA
Columba livia (rock pigeon) is the source of this 1748-nucleotide long non-coding RNA. RefSeq lists it as uncharacterized. The record is from RefSeq and is a predicted model, not a curated record. The transcript is spliced from 3 exons. Lineage: Eukaryota; Metazoa; Chordata; Aves; Columbiformes; Columbidae.